UGGGGAAUAUUGCACAAUGGGCGCAAGCCUGAUGCAGCGACGCCGCGUGAGGGAUGACGGCCUUCGGGUUGUAAACCUCUUUCAAUAGGGACGAAGCGCAAGUGACGGUACCUAUAGAAGAAGGACCGGCCAACUACGUGCCAGCAGCCGCGGUAAUACGUAGGGUCCGAGCGUUGUCCGGAAUUACUGGGCGUAAAGAGCUCGUAGGUGGUUUGUCGCGUUGUUCGUGAAAACUCACAGCUUAACUGUGGGCGUGCGGGCGAUACGGGCAGACUAGAGUACUGCAGGGGAGACUGGAAUUCCUGGUGUAGCGGUGGAAUGCGCAGAUAUCAGGAGGAACACCGGUGGCGAAGGCGGGUCUCUGGGCAGUAACUGACACUGAGGAGCGAAAGCGUGGGGAGCGAACAGGAUUAGAUACCCUGGUAGUCCACGCCGUAAACGGUGGGUACUAGGUGUGGGUUUCCUUCCUUGGGAUCCGUGCCGUAGCUAACGCAUUAAGUACCCCGCCUGGGGAGUACGGCCGCAAGGCUAAAACUCAAAUGAAUUGACGGGGUCAUAGCUG
RNAcentral lists this ribosomal RNA (562 nucleotides) under uncultured bacterium. Its description in RNAcentral is "partial 16S ribosomal RNA". It matches the Rfam family "Bacterial small subunit ribosomal RNA", at positions 355 to 932 of the family's 1533-position model. The record is from RNAcentral.